CCUANGGGAGGCAGCAGUGGGGAAUCUUGCGCAAUGGGCGAAAGCCUGACGCAGCAACGCCGCGUGAGCGAAGAAGGCCUUCGGGUUGUAAAGCUCUGUCAGGGGGGAAAAAGGCACCUGGGUUAAUAGCCCAAGGGCUGAUGGUACCCCCAAAGGAAGCCACGGCUAACUACGUGCCAGCAGCCGCGGUAAUACGUAGGUGGCGAGCGUUGUCCGGAAUCAUUGGGCGUAAAGAGCGCGUAGGUGGCUUGUCAGGUCCGGUGUGAAAUCCUGGGGCUUAACUCCAGGCGUGCAUCGGAAACCGGCUUGCUAGAGUCUGGGAGAGGAGAGUGGAAUUCCUGGUGUAGCGGUGAAAUGCGUAGAUAUCAGGAGGAACACCAGUAGCGAAGGCGGCUCUCUGGAACAGUACUGACACUGAGGCGCGAAAGCUAGGGGAGCGAACAGGAUUAGAUACCCUANUANUC
This 464-nucleotide ribosomal RNA is filed under the name uncultured bacterium. RNAcentral describes it as "bacterial SSU rRNA". It matches the Rfam family "Bacterial small subunit ribosomal RNA", at positions 338 to 795 of the family's 1533-position model. The record is from RNAcentral.